AAGGAAGUCUUGUGGGGCCAACUAUGAUGCUGAUAAUGGAACUCUCUUGAAAGGGUCCAUUGGUUUGGUCUCACAUAGCGCCUCAGCAUUCUGGUCAGACAAAGUCUCACUGGGCAGCCACAGGCUCUUGUUCAUACCCUGACUGUGACCAGCAGCAGCAGCAGCAGCAGCAGUGUGGUGCAGACAGAAGCAGAGCAAGUGGAGCAGUAAUUAAUCCAUGGUCACAGCAAGCGGAAAGCCCAUUUAAAGCCAGACGACCGACUGACGGACGGUGCACCCCCAUCCUCAAUCACCACCACCCCAAAAAGAUCACCUCUGCGGCUGACGUGACAGUACUCAGAGGGUCGAACACUCCCUUAUCUCUAGAUGGAAAGAUUCUCCAUAGAAAUCAAUGCAGGGGCUUUGUUUUUGCCAAAUACAUGGAGUGAUCCAUCUGGAAUGUCUUCUCCAUCUGGGAAUAUUUGCGCAUGUGGUCAAAAUAAAAAAAACUUUUAUCACUGUC
Molecule: long non-coding RNA, 502 nt
Organism: Alosa sapidissima (American shad)
Lineage: Eukaryota; Metazoa; Chordata; Actinopteri; Clupeiformes; Clupeidae
Exons: 3
Source: RefSeq, a predicted model, not a curated record